UUCCCCGUAGCUCAGUUGUUAGAGCAUGGUGUUUGCAACGCCAGGGUUUUGGGUUUGAUUCCCACGGGGGGC
Molecule: transfer RNA, 72 nt
Filed under: Salmo salar (Atlantic salmon)
Lineage: Eukaryota; Metazoa; Chordata; Actinopteri; Salmoniformes; Salmonidae
Rfam family: tRNA
About the family: Transfer RNA (tRNA) molecules are approximately 80 nucleotides in length.
Source: Rfam by way of RNAcentral